RNAcentral lists this long non-coding RNA (202 nucleotides) under Mytilus galloprovincialis (Mediterranean mussel). The record is from RNAcentral. Lineage: Eukaryota; Metazoa; Mollusca; Bivalvia; Mytilida; Mytilidae.
GGUUGUUUCUUUUAGGGUUUAUUUGUCGGACUUGCCUUUUCUCUACCAGGCAUAAGGUUCGGCUUUUACCAGAGUCGGUUUGGAUUCCAAGUAGGUCCUUACUGGUAUCCUGUUAAUUGUCAUGGCAAUGGUUUGUCCUCAUUUUGUAUACAUUUUUCACUUUAUCAGUUUUAAGGUUAAGCGAUUUAGGUGUGUAGAUGUG